This is a long non-coding RNA of Passer domesticus (house sparrow), 1389 nucleotides long. RefSeq lists it as uncharacterized. The record is from RefSeq and is a predicted model, not a curated record. Lineage: Eukaryota; Metazoa; Chordata; Aves; Passeriformes; Passeridae. The transcript has 4 exons.
UUGGCUGCUGUGUUUGCACACUCUUCACCCUGCUCCUGCCCACUCUGCUUGUCACCUGCCCCCUGAUAAGCCCAUCACUCCUGAAAGAUCCUGAGUGCCUGGAUUUUGUCAUCCAGCCCUGCAGGAUGCUCCCAUUUGUCCUGAGGAAGGCUGUCCCAGACAGAGAGGAGGAGAUGGAGGUAGAUGCAAAGAUUGAUAUGGAGGAGGAGAUGGAGGUGGAUGUGGAGGUGGAAGAAGAGAUGGAAGUGGAUGUGGAAGAGUCCAUUGAGGACAUGGACAUUGAUUAAAAAGGACCGAUGGACAUCAUGGACAGAGAUGUCACCCUUUUGUACAUACCUUUUACAUUUUGUUGUUGUUAUAUAGGUUUUAGGGCUUUUUGUCUUCUGUAAAUAUGUUGCAUCUAUUUUUGCUAGAUAGGUUCUUAUGUAUAUAUGUUCUAUCAAUUGUUGUUGUUACAAAUAUUCUUACAAUGUAAAUGUGUUCUGUAUUUUUGCUGCUGUUUCUCUGUAAUAAACAAAUUUUAUUUUUCACACCCCAGUUCUCCUUGCAUUUGCUUCAGGCACAGGCAGCAUUUUGCAAAGUUGUAGUUUCCACUUGCUGCAGGUUCCCAGGGCUGGAGGUCCCUGGCAUAGCCACCCCAGGAGUGGGGGUCCCUGUGCACAGAGGGAUCCCACUGACAGAGCCCCAGGGCUAAGGAGGGUGCACUGUGCUGUGGGCAAGCCCUGCUCCUGGGCACCCUGAGGGGCUGGAGCCAGCCUGGAGGGAGCCUCAGCCCUACAUGGACCAAGAUUUCCUUUGGAAAACCCCCUCUGUCCACAGACUCUGGUGAGCACAAGAAUUGAUCCUCCUAGUUCAAGGUGUGACCUUCAUUGGCACAAAUGUGUCCUUUGCACUUUCUAGCACAGCAAAUGUCAGUGCUUGUAAUCCCUGUUCUGCACACUCUGCUCAGGCAGCAAAACAUCUGAACCUGAGGGAACAUCUUGAAUUAGCACCAACCUGCAGAGAGCUACAGGGGGAGAACCUACCCCCAAGCACCCAGAGAAAUACUUGACACUGAUAGUCUGGGGCAGAGCUGACACUAAAGUAUUUUAAUGCCAAGAGAGAGGCAAAGAAGAGAUGGAAAAGAAUAAGACAUCUUCUCAGUCAGUGGGAAUGGCUUGAAAGGGGGGCGGGGUGGGGGUGGAUUCAUGGCCAGCUGAUCCAGUUGACACCCCCUCUCUUCUGGCCAUGGCCAGAGCUGGGUGGGAUGGCCCUGGCAGGACGGUCUCCUAGGAUUCCCACAGAUCCAGGCUCUGACUGUGGCUCUGUUCCUCUCCCUUCCAGCCCUUCAAGCCCUGAGGAGAGAUGACAGCCCUUCCCAGAAAAACAUAGUUGUUAAACAGAUAUUCA